CCAACAAACACAACAACAGUAUUCUAUCUCUCAUACUUCACAUUAAAAAAACACUUUUGGUACUUUCUUUCCUCUGGUCUUUCUCUCACUCUCAACAACACAAUCAAUACUCUAAAAAUCACUCUUAAUAAACAAACAUACAAGAACCCAGUUUGAAGUCUAUGAAUGAUGAUGUACAAAAUAAUGAACUAGCAAAGCACCAGCAACUAAAGUUCAAGUAGAAGACGAGACAAGCCGAAAUUAAUUACGUUUUACUGCAUGAAGAUGGAUGCAUAUUUAAUGAAACUGCGGUUGAAGCAAUGGCUUCCUCCAGGGUUAUGCAUAGAGUCGGAAAAAAAAGACGGAAAAGAAACUUGUCUCAAGAGAUGAGUAAAGCUCGUUAGUUUUAAAACAUCUGUUUUUCUAUUGUACAAACGCUGACUACCAUAUACGUUGGUUGUUUUUAUAUUAUAAUAAGUGUACUUACAAUUUUAAAACUAAUUAAUUGUCUCAAAUGAACAAAAAGAAAGUACACGAGUAAAA
Molecule: long non-coding RNA, 522 nt
Organism: Erigeron canadensis
Lineage: Eukaryota; Viridiplantae; Streptophyta; Magnoliopsida; Asterales; Asteraceae
Exons: 3
Source: RefSeq, a predicted model, not a curated record